CUGGGCGGUGGGUGCCAUGCGCCGGGAGCUUCACAUUCUCUGCUCCCGCCCACCACAUCCGCCCGCCCUCCGCGGUCACGCCUCGGACGGCGAGCACCUGCCAAGCAGUUAAAGAAGUUUUCCCUCUAGUCUUACUGAACCAUGGCACUACCUCCCGACACCAGCAAUCACAUCUUCUUGAAGCCUGAAGAGGUUCUGCCUAAGGACAGAGCUCCCCAAAGACUUCCAGAGGAAUCGAAAUGGAUAUAUGCAAAUUUUCCUUCAUCUUAUGACUUCAAAACUAUUGUCAACCCAUUAAAACUCUUUUCCUUGUU
Molecule: long non-coding RNA, 314 nt
Organism: Prionailurus viverrinus (fishing cat)
Lineage: Eukaryota; Metazoa; Chordata; Mammalia; Carnivora; Felidae
Exons: 3
Source: RefSeq, a predicted model, not a curated record